RNAcentral lists this ribosomal RNA (254 nucleotides) under uncultured bacterium. RNAcentral's name for it is "partial 16S ribosomal RNA". It matches the Rfam family "Bacterial small subunit ribosomal RNA", at positions 524 to 776 of the family's 1533-position model. The record is from RNAcentral.
UACGUAGGGUGCGAGCGUUGUCCGGAAUUAUUGGGCGUAAAGAGCUCGUAGGCGGUGUGUCGCGUCGGUCGUGAAAACUUGGGGCUUAACCCUGAGCUUGCGGUCGAUACGGGCAUCACUGGAGUUCGGCAGGGGAGACUGGAAUUCCUGGUGCAGCGGUGAAAUGCGCAGAUAUCAGGAGGAACACCGGUGGCGAAGGCGGGUCUCUGGGCCGAUACUGACGCUGAGGAGCGAAAGCGUGGGGAGCGAACAGG